Molecule: small RNA, 761 nt
Filed under: Arabidopsis thaliana (thale cress)
Lineage: Eukaryota; Viridiplantae; Streptophyta; Magnoliopsida; Brassicales; Brassicaceae
Description: ATSL014700
Source: RNAcentral
UUAUAAAGUUUUAAAAAUUAUAAAUUGAAUUUUACAAGAAAUUUAAACAUUACAAAUAUAGAAAAAAUAUAUUAAUACGAGAUGAUAUAUUACAGGAAAAAUCUUAAAAAUUGGGUCGAUAUUGUAUUUUUUUAAGUUUCAAAUUUUAUAAUAUUGAAAUUUAUAAGAAAAUGACAAAAUUAUGUUUAAUUUCACGGGACUGGAUUAUAUGGUAGGACGGGUUUGGGUGGAUAAUAAUUACGAUUUUAGAAUGUUCUAUAUCGCUUAAAAAAAUUGGACAAUGGUCAAGAGCCAUACUAUAAAAAGGACCAAAAUGAUUUCGAUUACGAAUGAGCAUGAAACUUGAUUUAUGAGGUGUCCAAAAUUAAAAUGGUUUGUUUUACUAGGGUUAUUUAUUUUAAAAAAUUGAAACUUUAAAAAGUUUAAAAAAUUAUAAAUUAAAUAUUACAAGAAAUUUAAACAAUAUAAAAGAUAUUAAUACGGGACGAUAUACUGCGAGAGAAAUCUUAGAUAUAACACUCAAAAUUCAAUGAUGAAGUUUGGGUCAAUAUUAAUCUUUUUUGAAGUUUCUAAUUUUAUAAAUAUUUAAAAUUUAUAAUAAAAUGACAAAUUUGUGUUUAAUUUCACGGGACGGGGUUAUAUGGUGUGACGGGUUUGAGUGGAUAAUAACAUGGGAUAGUAUGCUAUGGAAAAAAACAUAUAAUAACAAUCAUAAUAUAAUUACAUAAUCUUAAACACUAAACAAAAUUAACAAUAUUAAA